RNAcentral lists this long non-coding RNA (396 nucleotides) under Pan troglodytes (chimpanzee). Its description in RNAcentral is "long non-coding RNA NONPTRT012370". The record is from RNAcentral. Lineage: Eukaryota; Metazoa; Chordata; Mammalia; Primates; Hominidae.
AAUGUACUCUACCUAUAUUUUUACUUUAUAUUUACCAUGUAUAUUUUCAUGUAUACUUGGCAUAAGUGCUUUAUAGUAGUCACCUAAUUCACUGUCAUCUUUUUUGUUUCUUGGAAGGUUUCUAUUACAACUGGUUGGUAUUCUUUUAGAAGACAUUGUUACAAAACAGCUGAAGGUGGAAAUGAGUGAGCAGCAACAUACUUUCUAUUGCCAAGAACUAGGCACACUGCUAAUGUGUCUGAUCCACAUCUUCAAGUCUGUGUCAGAACCUCCAUGACUCCGAGCACUUAACGUGGCUCAUUGUAAAUCACAUUCAAGAUCUGAUCAGCCUUUCCCACGAGCCUCCAGUACAGGACUUCAUCAGUGCCGUUCAUCGGAACUCUGCUGCCAGCGGCC